GAUGAAGAACGUAGCGAAAUGCGAUAAGUAAUGUGAAUUGCAGAAUUCAGUGAAUCAUCGAAUCUUUGAACGCACAUUGCGCCCGCCAGUAUUCUGGCGGGCAUGCCUGUUCGAGCGUCAUUACAACCCUCAGGCCCCCGGGCCUGGCGUUGGGGAUCGGCGGAGCCCCCCGUGGGCACACGCCGUCCCCCAAAUGCAGUGGCGGUCCCGCCGCAGCUUCCAUCGCGUAGUAGCUAACACCUCGCGACUGGAGAGCGGCGCGGCCACGCCGUAAAACACCCAACUCUUCUGAAGUUGACCUCGAAUCAGGUAGGAAUACCCGCUGAACUUAAGUAUAUCAAUAAGCGGAGGA
This 352-nucleotide unclassified non-coding RNA is filed under the name soil metagenome. RNAcentral describes it as "partial contains 5.8S ribosomal RNA, internal transcribed spacer 2, and large subunit ribosomal RNA". The stretch from base 1 to 120 matches the Rfam family "5.8S ribosomal RNA", at positions 35 to 154 of the family's 154-position model. The record is from RNAcentral.